CCUACGGGUGGCAGCAGUGAGGAAUAUUGGUCAAUGGUCGGGAGACUGAACCAGCCAAGCCGCGUGAGGGAGGAAGGUACAGAGUAUCGUAAACCUCUUUUGUCAGGGAACAAAGGCGGGGACGUGUCCCCGGAUGAGUGUACCUGAAGAAAAAGCAUCGGCUAACUCCGUGCCAGCAGCCGCGGUACUACGGAGGAUGCGAGCGUUAUCCGGAUUUAAGGGGUUUAAAGGGGGCGCAGGCGGUCUGUUAAGUCAGCGGUAAACCCACGGGGCUAAAACCCUGCCCGCCGUUGAAACUGGCAGUCUCGAGUUGGAGAGAAGUAUGCGGAAGGCGCGGUGUAGCGGUGAAAUGCAUAGAUAUCGCGCAGAACUCCGAUUGCGAAGGCAGCAUGCCGGCUCCACACUGACGCUGAGGCACGAAAGCGUGGGUAUCGAACAGGAUUAGAUACCCCGGUAGUC
RNAcentral lists this ribosomal RNA (459 nucleotides) under uncultured bacterium. RNAcentral's name for it is "partial 16S ribosomal RNA". It matches the Rfam family "Bacterial small subunit ribosomal RNA", at positions 338 to 795 of the family's 1533-position model. The record is from RNAcentral.